GCAGUGAACUUAAGCCCCAGUAAACGGCGGCCGUAACUAUAACGGUCCUAAGGUAGCGAAAUUCCUUGUCGGGUAAGUUCCGACCCGCACGAAAGGCGUAACGAUUUGGGCACUGUCUCAACAACAGACUCGGUGAAAUUGUAAUUCCGGUGAAGAUGCCGGAUACCUGCGACAGGACGGAAAGACCCCAUGGAGCUUUACUGUAGCUUGACAUUGGGUCUUGGUACUACAUGUACAGGAUAGGUGGGAGGCUUUGAAACCAGGACGCCAGUUUUGGCGGAGCCAUCCUUGGGAUACCACCCUUGUAGUACUGGGACUCUAACCAUAGGCCAUGAAUCUGGUCUUGGGACACUGUCAGGUGGGCAGUUUGACUGGGGCGGUCGCCUCCCAAAAGGUAACGGAGGCGCUCAAAGGUUCUCUCAGUACGGUCGGAAAUCGUACGUAGAGUGUAAAGGCAAAAGAGAGCUUGAUUGCAAGACAUACAGGUCGAGCAAGGAUGAAAAUCGGACUUAGUGAUCCGGUGGUUCUGCGUGGAAGGGCCAUCGCUCAACGGAUAAAAGCUACCCUGGGGAUAACAGGCUUAUCUCCCCCAAGAGUCCACAUCGACGGGGAGGUUUGGCACCUCGAUGUCGGCUCAUCACAUCCUGGGGCUGUAGUAGGUCCCAAGGGUUGGGCUGUUCGCCCAUUAAAGUGGUACGCGAGCUGGGUUCAGAACGUCGUGAGACAGUUCGGUCCCUAUCCGUCGCAGGCGUAGGAAAUUUGAGAAGACCUGUCCUUAGUACGAGAGGACCGGGAUGGACG
This 801-nucleotide ribosomal RNA is filed under the name Clostridioides difficile. RNAcentral describes it as "partial 23S ribosomal RNA". It matches the Rfam family "Bacterial large subunit ribosomal RNA", at positions 1904 to 2703 of the family's 2925-position model. The record is from RNAcentral. Lineage: Bacteria; Bacillati; Bacillota; Clostridia; Peptostreptococcales; Peptostreptococcaceae.